Molecule: long non-coding RNA, 4592 nt
Organism: Folsomia candida
Lineage: Eukaryota; Metazoa; Arthropoda; Collembola; Entomobryomorpha; Isotomidae
Exons: 3
Source: RefSeq, a predicted model, not a curated record
CCCAGUUUUGUUUUUGUGCAGUUUAUAACAUGACUCAUUCACAAUAAUUAGACCACCGCUUCAACUCCUUCAUUACUAAAGAGCCCUGCAGAAAAUUAUAACGCCAACAAAUGGCAAAAUUGUCGGGAAAUUGGAAACCACGAAUCUUGUGGACAGGUUUCUAAGAGGGUUAAAUUGUCAUUAAUAAGUGGAUACAUAAUACAAUACAGGAACAAAUCAUCCCAAUGUACAGAUGUACAUAUGUACAUACGUGUGUGAUUAAAUUGUACAAAAAAUUCAUUUUAAAUUUACUCCGGUUUUUAUUGUACAUACGUAUGUACGAUCUACAAAAAUUACUUUUUGAUAAAUAAAUCCCAGCCUACGUAAAAUCAACUUGAAUAUAAUGGAUUAACAGUGGUCCUAAUUGUGCUCAAUAUUUUAGUAACGAUUGACCUUAAAAUGUGUGUUCACUUGAGGCUGUUUUACCUAAUCGAUCCCUGGGGUUUUUUGCGUAAUACGAAGUACGGCCCUUACGUAAGGGAGUCUUUGCUUCCCACUCCUCCGGCACGUCGUGUAACAUCUUGUCAACUAAAUUAUCCGAUGUGACCUGCCAGAUUUAUUGGGACCUAAACAUCCCUCCCUGGAUACAAAUAUGCACCCCGUCCGUAAUAAGUAUACAGACUUCAAAAUAAAGUAAAUGAUAAUGUAUCCAAAUUUCGUCGCCUCAUUCGCGAAACCACUACUUGUGGAUGCUUUUCUGUCAAGAUUUACUAAACCCGAGGCAUUUAAACUUUGUCAAGUUCUUGCAAAAAGUAACUCGUUAUCUUUUGUUUUUACCUAAAUAGAUUUAAUCAUCAUGAUAAUGCUAAUAAUACGUACGUUAGUGUGUACAUACAUUAGUAAGUAUUUUGCAAUACAAAAAUUAAGUUAGAUUUAUAUACAUAUGUACAUAUACAUACGUGCUACAUGUUAGUUCGAAUCGAAGUCUUGGAUUUUCAAUUGGUACAUAGAUUUGAUACAUUUAGUAAAUUAUAUUCAUUAAAUUCACGAAUGUCAUAUUCUUAAUGAUUAAUACAUAUUUGCUAUAAUAAUAAUGAAAUCAUAAAUUGCUUAUCUAUGUGGGACAAUUUUUUUAAACUUUGAUCCACAAAAUCAAUUUAACAAAAUUUAAAUAUAUGUUAAAAUUUGUACCACCAAAAUUAUACUGGGUCUUGGUCUUAAUAUAAAUAUUACAAAUACAUUCAUAAUAGCUCAAUUCAAAUAUUGUUCCUUUUUUCUUCUUUUCAGUACUCAACCAGACAAGAACGUCUCAGGAAAUAUGUAUAUGCCAGGCUACCUGACAAACGUGGAAUACUACAAAUUUCAUCGCUACAACUUUCUCCGAAACAUUAGUUCUAAUGGAGAAACAUAUCCCAAACUAAACACAUACGUAUUUGUCUUGCACACAACUGGGUAUGUAGUCUUCGUUCGACGUAUCGAAGUUAAUUAUUUGUUAUGUCUUAAAUUAAUCCAAACCUGAAUUAUUCUAUGAGUUAUUCUAUGAAUUAUUCUCCAUAACGAGAGGCCAAAUCACCAGAAGAGCCAAAUUGUGCUCGUAUACUAGAGAUAAACUCCCCCAGUCCUCCAACCGACUGCUCCAAGCCACAAACUCUGCCCAAAGGCAGCGAUGAACAGGGAGAGUCGCCCGCCGCCGUCAGCAACGUUGCCACCGAAAAGGUCGCUAAUAUAAGAAAACAAAAUAUUUCUUUAAAAGUUUACCAAUAACGUAUAUAAUAAUGCAUGCUAAUUGGAAGGCAGGAACUUAUUACUAUAUCCCCCCAUCGACUAAAAUUUUGCGAACGGUCCAAGGCAUAUAAUACCAAUUAAAAUGGUGAAUAUAAAUAUCCCAAGUUUACUUUACGUACAAAUCGUAUUCUUCGGGAUUUAUGACCAGACCACGACUUACGACUAUUAAUAUUUUGCGGAAUCGUGUUAAAAGACCUUCUGGCAUCCACACAAUUUCGGCAAAGCCAGACCUGCUUUCGUCACUGAGUAAUCUUCUUGUAGUAUUUCCGUCAUUCUUAUUUCCUCCUCUGGCUGAUAACCGCGGAGGCCAAAUUUGUUUAAAAUGUCAUGUUGGAUUUUAUUUUUAUUCGUUGCAAAAAUAUCCUUGUUCGUAAGCACAUUCCAUUUUCCUAGCCCCUUGAUAUUCCGGUAUUUAAUAUAUUGAGGAGCAUUUCUAACACUCUAAUCCACGCAAGCAAUGGGCUUCAGCCAUGCACUAGGGCUGCAGGAUUUAUCCUGUUCUCGAAGUUGGAGGUAUCAUUAAUUUUUGACGGGGUGACACCCCAAAUCCCACAGUGUUGAUGUGAUUUGGAUCUCAUUAAGAUUGAAAAAACUUUUCCAUCAAUUAUAGUAAGCCGGCAAGAGUGUUAGAUUUUUAUUUAUUUGGUUGCCUCCAUUGGUUAUUAGCCUUACAUUGACAACCUUUAUAAUUUCUGCUUCUAGUUCUGCUCCUGCUUCAUGUAUUAAGGCUGGAAUAUCGUUAGGAAACUGCAACCACACUGGCCCGCAGUAGCGGGUCGAGUUAGGCGUUGAAUUCUGCCAUAUUGGAAGACAUUCAGGCCCUUGCAACUCUAAUCGGAUCACAGUUGUUGCGAUAUGACCAUCCUCAUGCUCGUUGGUAGUAAAUCCUCACGAUGACACAAGUGUUAGUUCUAGCUCGUUUACACCCUCGGAUUGGCAAAUGAGGUCUAUAAAAUCUUCCUUAUCUCGAAUUAUUCUCACUGCUAUAUCGGUCUUGUAUAUCGGUCUGGAAUAUAUGAGUCGGCAGCCGGUUUCUGUUGAUUUGGGUUUAGGAUCUAGACGGCAUAAUUUCUUGGCUGAUUCUACUUGGUUGUAGGCCCACAAUCUUUCCGUUCCCGAAAACCCACGGGCAGUUGGAUACUGGGAGACAGAUAUAACAGCAUCUAACAGAAACUCCAGAGCUUCUUCCGGUUACCGCAUCCCGUGAAUGGGACAAACAUAGUUUCAGCAGCAAUGCAGUUUUCUGUACUAUACAUAUAAAUAUUUUCCUUUGUUCAAUCGGGAUUCCGUACAUUUUUUUGAUAGAAUCCUGAAUUUAGAUUUGCGGUGAGGAGGAUAUUAUUACAAGAAUGCAUCGCUAAUAUGCUAUACUUACGAAUUCAAGAAUUGAAGAAUAAUCAUGUUGCUCAAGGUACUUGCAAUUAUUGAUUAAAUUUUAAGUUAAGUUGGACAGCGUAUUGAUUUACUUGGUGAUUAAUACUUGAUGAGACAGAUUGCUUAACAUUCCAGUCUUCCUGCAACCAAGCGAGGUUCGCCAAAUACAGGUUAUUAAUGUUAUUACAGCUUUGCAAGCUCUGUUUAACUUGGGAAUUUCCAACUGUAGUUUCGGUUUGAUUCCUUCAUGAUUAAAAUAAAUUCACCACGAAAUAAAUAAGCAUUUAAAUAUAUACUCACAUCAUAUAAUAGUAUAGUAUAUAUUACAUUCCGAUAUACCUAAAGAUCAAUUAUAUCUCUAAAUAACUCUAGCCUCUUGUUGUAAAAGAGUGACAUUCAAAGUUUAAUGCAGAAUUGUUCAAAAAGAUGGGUGGUGUAAUUACGUUAUAUCAUGAUAAUAAAGAAACCAAAUCUGCAUCACCUCAUUCCUUUCCUACUUGUUUCAAUAGCUUGGUUUGUGUUGUCCCAAAAUUGGAUGCUUUGGACGAUGGCUAAGGGUACUGCUCCUCCAAUAUUGUUUAUGUUACGUUGAUUGAGGAUGAGAACAACUUACGACUUAGCCAGUACCAAACACUUAUGGACGGAUGCUUCAUGUUAGAUUUCGGGUACUCAUCUCUAUCAAGGUCUGCAUUCAGGUUGCCUAUGAUCUUUCAAUUCUCCUCCGUUCCACGACUUAAUGAGUUUCUCUAGGUAAUUUUGCCCAGAAUUCUGUAAGUAAAGGCAAGGUGCAAUAAAAAUGAUCUAUGUUAAGUCUAAGUUAUCUCCAAGACCACAACCUUUUAUAUAAUGUUUUUCCAUUAAUAAUAAUAUAAUACCAAUAUUAAUAAUAUUUGGGUAAAUGAAUUCAAGGUCCCAGACUCAUACGUAGGGAACUACCGGUAAUUCAUUCCUUGAGUUGGUCACCUGAUGUACCGUUGUACAGGCACCUACGUAAUCAUAAAGUGUUGGCUUGCCAACACUUUAUGAUUACUUUUACCUGUAUGAGCUCGGGGUGCAGUACAGUCAGUGAUGAGGUCACCAUUUUCACCUCCCUUUAGAAUCACAGUAACUGAAUCCUUGAAAUCUUCCGAAUACUUUUGAAAUUCCUUUGUCAUUCUUGUAGGAGCUUCUUCGCACUUUAGAAUAAUAGCUAGUUAGUCAGGAAUUUCGUCCAUGAAACGACUGACUACCUCGUGCUAUUGAUUUAUCUGUAGCACUACCUGAUAUCUUUUUCAUGCAUACGUAAUUGACACCAUUCAAGAGUUCGUUACCUGUUAAUGAAAGUUAAUAUAAGUUCAUAGCGAAAUUAAGUGGUUGCUAUGGAGAUUUUGAAGGAUUUUUUGUAGUUUAUAUUAAACUGAAAUGGUUGUUUGCUAUGCAAAAUUCUAAGGUGUUUUAAAAAUUAUACAUAAUAA